RNAcentral lists this ribosomal RNA (401 nucleotides) under uncultured bacterium. RNAcentral describes it as "bacterial SSU rRNA". It matches the Rfam family "Bacterial small subunit ribosomal RNA", at positions 356 to 774 of the family's 1533-position model. The record is from RNAcentral.
GGGGAAUAUUGGACAAUGGGCGAAAGCCUGAUCCAGUCAUGCCGCGUGAGUGAUGAAGGCCCUAGGGUUGUAAAGCUCUUUCACCGGUGAAGAUAAUGACGGUAACCGGAGAAGAAGCCCCGGCUAACUUCGUGCCAGCAGCCGCGGUAAUACGAAGGGGGCUAGCGUUGUUCGGAAUUACUGGGCGUAAAGCGCACGUAGGCGGAUAUUUAAGUCAGGGGUGAAAUCCCGGGGCUCAACCCCGGAACUGCCUUUGAUACUGGGUAUCUAGAGUAUGGUAGAGGUGAGUGGAAUUCCGAGUGUAGAGGUGAAAUUCGUAGAUAUUCGGAGGAACACCAGUGGCGAAGGCGGCUCACUGGACCAUUACUGACGCUGAGGUGCGAAAGCGUGGGGAGCAAACA